Molecule: long non-coding RNA, 1128 nt
Organism: Homo sapiens (human)
Lineage: Eukaryota; Metazoa; Chordata; Mammalia; Primates; Hominidae
Gene: DPY19L2P3
Product: DPY19L2 pseudogene 3
Source: Ensembl
CUGCGAGAUUAAUUUCACAGGGGAUUAAUUUCUCAUUUACAAAUAAAAAUGUAAUCAUAGCCUCCUGGUAUCGCACAUCCAUGGGAAUACUGAAUUUAUUUGGACUAGAAACUAACACCUGCUGGAAUGUCACCAGAAUAGAACCUCUUAAUGAAGUUCAAAGCUGUGAAGGAUGUCAUGCCCAGAGCUGUAGCGGUCAUCUUGUGACCAUAAGGGAAAGGCCAUAAAAAUAGCAGAUAUAUCUGGCCUACCAUCCUUCUGCUGCUGAACCAAUGCCAACAGUGGGACUCAACUAGGAGGUCUUAUUACAGUACUGUGCUGCUUUUUCAACCAUGGAGAGGUCACUCGUGUGAUGUGGACACCACCUCUCCGUGAAAGUUUUUCCUAUCCAUUUCUUGUACUUCAGAUGUAUAUUUUAACUUUGAUUCUCAGGACCUCGAGCAAUGAUAGAAGGCCCUUCAUUGCACUCUGUCUUUCCAAUGUUGCUUUUAUGCUUCCCUGGCAAUUUGCUCAGUUUAUACUUUUUACACAGUGCAAAUCACCUGGUCAUGAAGUCUUUAUUUUGCCUUCAUUUUUGAAAGGCAAUAAUUCUAAAGGAAAUAAAAUUUAAAAACUGGGAGUAUCUGAACUCAACUUUUGGGUAGUGCCUGGUGGUGUGGAACAAUCAUUUUGAAAUUUCUGACAUCUAAAAUCUUAGGCGUUUCAGACCACACUGUUCGUGAUAUUUCGUGUGUUUUAGCUACAAACACUUAUCUAAGAUGCUGUCUUCGCAGUGCCAUGCCUACAAUGGCAAGCGUGAAGCUGUCUACACUUCAUCCCAUUGUGAAUCAUCCACAUUACGAAGAUGCAGACUUGAGGCCUGGUUGCAGUAUGCUUGAAAUCUGGGAUGUGGAAGACCCUUCCAAUGCAGCUAACCCUCCCUUACGUAGCAUCCUGCUCGAAGAUGCCAGGCUCGAAGAUGCCAGUAUUUCAGAAUAGUGUGUACAGAGUAUUGAAGGUUAACUGAGAAGGAAACUACCCAUUACACUAUGGCACAAUGCCGUGUGUCAAAAACAAUCACCCUUUGGCUUAUUUACAUUAAUAAAAAUCACAAGCUUUAAUAACAGACACUUAAAAAUAAGAUAAAAA